ACACCAUCCUUCCUAACCCUUUGCAGAACUACUUCAGCACCUAAGUCUGGCAGAAGAUCACUCCUCCGCCCUGGCCACUGAUUAAAAAGCCAAAACAAAACCAGACACCCAUUUCUGCCAGCUUGAAUCUGCUUCACAGAGGACCUUAUGAAGGCUGUGCAAGGGAGGACAUAGAACUGUGAAGGUUUUUCAAUACAGUGUCCACACUGGCUUCAUAUGUGAUAAGGAGACAAGCAAACAGUGGAGAACAGCAGUAGAUAUGAUGCAGAUAAGCAAGAAAGAAAAAUUAAGGACAAAAAGAUGGAGCAGUUUCUAAAAAAACAGAUGGUACACUUGGAAAUAAUACCAUAAAGGCACAUUAUUUUAAACAACUAUUGAUUACACCCUGGGGAUUUGCACCAGUUCCACUCGAUACUGCUUUUAAAAUGAGACUGACAGCAUCAGGAAACACAACACUAAUGAAAUCCAUGACACAGACUGUGAGCAGAUGUCAUGACAAGAUGAGAACAGAGCAAAGCAAAGUGACCACAAACAGUGAUAGCAUGUGAGGAUGAACCAAGCAUCACUAAGAAUAAAGAACAAUGAAAGAGUGAAAUUGCUCUAUUU
This 606-nucleotide long non-coding RNA is filed under the name Serinus canaria (Common canary). RNAcentral describes it as "lncRNA (ENSSCAG00000015589.1)". Lineage: Eukaryota; Metazoa; Chordata; Aves; Passeriformes; Fringillidae. The record is from RNAcentral.